AUUCCGUUAACUUCUAAUCAUUUUUAUUGUUAUGCGAUUUAAAUUUUAAUAAUGUUCUGUUAUUAAAUUCUACUUGAAACAAUUACUAAUAAAUAUUUCGUCUUUCACUGACGUCAUCACAAACCUAUAGAUUAGCAGACCUGUACGUUUUGUACCUUGUGUACUCCUGGCGGUAAACCCAUGAACCGUAUUGUGACAUGGUCGGCGUAGAACGGAAAAUAAGAUAUCACUUUGGUCGGAGACUUCAACCGAAUAAGUACCUAGUGGCAGAUAACCUAUCCACGUAAAAGUGGCGAAUAUUUCAUUCUUGUAAGUCAUAGUAUUAUUUUGAAAAUAAAUUAUCCAAGUUUAUUACGUAUGUGUUUAGUGGGCUGAAUAAACGAGGUUGGAGGUUCGCAGCAGUGAUUUGUGGGCUAUCUGCCACUGGGGAAAAUCUUUUAACUACUCCUACCACCUGAGAAGGACCGCUUUUCGACCAAGUCACCUAGGGGACAAGUACUAGAGGAACAUGUAAUUUUUGUUCUUCAUUAUCCUGCAUUUUGGAGAAUUGCCGUGUUACGGUUGACUGCGUAGCACCAUUCUGUGCUUAAGACUUUACUGAGAAGUAGUAAGGAAAACUUGUGGGGACAAUAUCAGGUCAAUCGGGUUUGUUUCGGGAACUUUUUAUAUUUAACAGUGCAAUAGUUAUCUACCUAUACCAGUACACUUAUACACUUAUUUUUUUUAUAAUAUCCAGAACAUUUAAGUAAUUAACAUACACAUAAUUCAAUAGCGCUCCCACACCUGUAUGUCUCUUUGUAAAAGAGGAUAAUUUGGGCCCAAAUAACCUUUUCCCAUACAGUAGUUCCUUACAUUUAUUUUUUAUUAAUAUUAUUAGACUUGUUUCCCAUAUUUUUCAUAUAACUAUAUAUAUAUUUUAAUAUUAUUAGCUUGUUUCUUGUAAUUUAAAUUCCCAAUUUGUUUGCUUAACUUAAAUUCAUUUGUUAUUAAAUUAAAUUCAAUCCCUAAUCCCUAUCCCUUCAGGAUAGCUAUUAGUUUUACUUAGUCAUUAUUAAAAAACCACGAGUCAGAAAAAGGAUCUUUAUCAUCCAGGACUGCGUUGGUUCAGUUAGGUGUUGCCUAUUCAACUCAUUGAGUUAUAUAUAUUUGUAUGGUUCAUCCUAGGUAGGUAUUUUAGUAUUGAUUUCUUGUAGUAUUUAACGUUGCUGUACGUAUUACAAUCGUACGAUUAUUUGGUGAAGGUUGUUGUUUAACCUUAGUGUAAGUUGGGGGUACGCUCCAUAUAAGAGCUACCCCAGUACUAAUGUAAUUAUAGUUGUAUACUCAUAUUCAGAUAAGUAGUUAAGUCAAAUUGUCAUUUUAGAGUUACAUAGGUUGUAUUUUUUCUAACUCAGAGGUUGUCAAUAAUCUAGGUAGUUAUAUUUUAAUAAAUAUUUAUUUGUUUGUA
RNAcentral lists this long non-coding RNA (1447 nucleotides) under Diabrotica virgifera virgifera (western corn rootworm). RNAcentral's name for it is "uncharacterized LOC126891851". Lineage: Eukaryota; Metazoa; Arthropoda; Insecta; Coleoptera; Chrysomelidae. The record is from RNAcentral.